UCUUGUACAUUGAGGGUACUUUGGAGAUGAGAGUCACUCAUCCUAUGACUCUCUUGAUGUCUCCUCAAAUGGCCAGUUUCCUCGCUACUGAUACAACUAUAAAAUUUAGCACAUUUUUUACAUUUUAUUUUUCAAACUCUGUCAACAAGAACUCUUUCAAAAUUCUUCCAAACUGCACUAGUCCUCUUACAAGAAGAGAUUUGACUUUGAGUAGUUUCAGAGAGAGUAGGAGCAAUGGGAUUAGUUUUCUCUCUCUUGAAAAUAGG
RNAcentral lists this long non-coding RNA (266 nucleotides) under Elaeis guineensis (African oil palm). RNAcentral describes it as "long non-coding RNA (EGUI_LNC030566)". Lineage: Eukaryota; Viridiplantae; Streptophyta; Magnoliopsida; Arecales; Arecaceae. The record is from RNAcentral.